CACGUAGUUAGCCGGGGCUUCUUAGUCAGGUACCGUCUUUUUUUCGUCCCUGCUGAUAGAGCUUUACAUACCGAAAUACUUCCUCGCUCACGCGGCGUCGCUGCAUCAGGGUUUCCCCCCAUUGUGCAAUAUUCCCCACUGCUGCCUCCCGUAGGAGUUUGGGCCGUGUCUCAGUCCCAAUGUGGCCGGUCGCCCUCUCAGGCCGGCUACUGAUCGUUGCCUUGGUGGGCUCUUACCCCUCCAACUAGCUAAUCAGACGCGGACUCAUCCUGCACCGAAUUUCUUUUCCUACUCCCUCAUGCGAGGCUGUAGGCUUAUGCGGUAUUAGCAGCCAUUUCUAGCUGUUGUCCCCCUGUGCAGGGCAGAUUAUCCACGUGUUACUCACCCGUCCGCCACUCAGUCAGGAAGGUGCAAGCACCCUCCUGCUUCGUUCGACUUGCAUGUGUUAAGCACGCCGCCAGCGUUCAUCCUGAGCCAGAGUACAAACUACU
This 491-nucleotide ribosomal RNA is filed under the name uncultured Lachnospiraceae bacterium. RNAcentral describes it as "partial 16S ribosomal RNA". Lineage: Bacteria; Bacillati; Bacillota; Clostridia; Lachnospirales; Lachnospiraceae. The record is from RNAcentral.